ACUACACUUAAACUUUAUUUAGGACAGCAAACAAAAACAUACUGAAUAAAACUUUUAAACAACAUAGCUAGAAAACAGAAACCAUAUCAUGUUACAUUCAACGUGUUUUGAUUGGAUAAGCGAGAACAUGUUGUCAAGUAAAGAAACGCUUAUAUUAUAUAUAAUAUUUAAAUAUAAAACAUUCAAUUAAUAUCAGAAAGUCAAAGUGUUUUUCCCCUACUUUGGGAAUGGUGCUGGUACAGUUAACGGUACCGGACAGAUUGGGAAAAAAUCCAUCGGUUUGACUUUAAUUGGGAAUUUUAUUUUAGAUGCAAAAUAUUUAUUGGGAAUUUCUUUUAUCCAGGGAGGUGAUGAAAAUUUUGCAGAAUUAUACACUUUAAAAUCAUGUAUUAUUAACUUUAAAGAUUAUUUUUGCUGCUUGAGGUUGAAAAAAAAAUUGAUAAUCAUAACAAUUGUACAUAAAUAAUGUUUAGUAGGUGUGAAACAUUAAGUACGAAAUGAACUGGGUACGAAUAUCACUCAUGUGGUUUUACUUGGUUUUUAUCGUAUAUCACUUAUCAAUACGGAAGGCUCCGAGGCAUGCAUUUCUGUUUUUAGAGGAAUUUUUCAGUGUUAAAUUUGGAAUUUAUCAGUCAUGAAUUGGAAAAUUUGCUGUCUAUUUUCUAUUGGGAACGGUGCCGUUUUCCGGUAUCAGUUAUAUAAGGAAAAACACUGGGUUGUUGUUAAGAUUUUAGUCAUUGACUAGAUUUCUUCCAGAAUUUUUUGGAUUUUACUCUUCUUGUGCAAGUUGUGGUUAUAGAAUGUGAUGAACAUAUUGACUCUUACUUUGUAAAAUGUUCAGAUACAAAGACAGUUGCUAAAAAAUAUCAAGAUCUCAAGUUUGUUUUGCCCCUGUCUUGCAUAUCUGUAAUGGAAGAACAGUCAUUAUCGAUAAAUUAAUAAAAAUGUAAUUUUGGGUACUGUCAGAUCUACAUGUUACGCUACAAGUUUCUUCUCAUAAUUACAUAUUUAACAACUAGUAUGGCUAAUGAGUACAAAAUUUUGGAGGUACUACACUACAAGGCAGAAGAGAAUAUCUGUACUUGCAAGCAGUCUUGAAGACCUUCUGAAGAAAGCUGGUGACAAGCAAUAGUUGCAAGGAGGAAGUUUGAUUGUUGUGCUGGAAAAAGAUGUGACAGAAAUGGAAGAAAACGCCAUCCUUGACAUAUUCAAAACUAAGUAUUGAUGCUUCUAGGGAAGAAAACGCCAUCCUUGACAUAUUCAAAACUAAGUAUUGAUGCUUCUAGAAGACCAACAAAUUUGAGAACCUGAUAUUCCAAAAGACACUGUUGUAAUGUUUGGGCAGACACCCAAGAUGCCAACAUGUCAAAGACUGAGACAGAGUCCACAACUGUUACCACAGCGACAGAAAUUGUAACACCAUCUUAUGUUGUUGGAAAUUAAAUUAAUUCUUACAGUAGGCCACAUCCAACCAUUUGUUGACAAUCUAGAGAUAUUGUUUGAAGCAGUAGCUACACUUAAACCUGGAGGAAAAGAGUGCGAAGAUGCUUUGGAUGUUAUAAGAGCUAUAGAAAAUAAUACAGGAUUCAAACAUGGAAAGGGGUGCAAGACUAAAUCAAUUGUAGUUCUACAUGAGG
Long non-coding RNA from Ruditapes philippinarum (Manila clam), 1637 nucleotides. RefSeq lists it as uncharacterized. NCBI's taxonomy places the organism in Eukaryota, Metazoa, Mollusca, Bivalvia, Venerida, Veneridae. The record is from RefSeq and is a predicted model, not a curated record. The transcript is spliced from 4 exons.